GUGUGCUGUGCGCUUUCCUGCAGGGACCGCUCCGCCUACCCUUUUCGCAAUGUUGACGCAAUCUAUAAAUAGUAGAACAAAAGGACAACUUCCUUGAAGCUUGCUGAAACUGCAUAAAAGGAUAAAUGUUGACGUUAGAGAACAUGAGCCCCGAUAUUUUUGCGAAGUUUUGUUUUCUAAAGAGUACACGUUCUAAGAGUUGGAUUACAUGAGAUGUUCGAGUGUCAUACAUGAAAGAUUAUUUGGAGCGUUCAACUUACGUGAGGUACUCGGCGUAAGGAGAUUGACAGACCGGACCUCCAUUCAAUAGUCAACCUAAAAUUGGGAAAAUUCCAAAUUAGGACAGUGAUGGCGUCACCGACCCAAUCAUCGAUGUUCAGCGUGGCCAUGAGGGUGGGACAUCCGCUUUCGCGGAGUACUUUGUUGCAAACAAUAAGCCAUUUACAAUACUGAGAACUGAAGAGGGUGGCUGUUGUAUUUUGUAAUGACCGAUUCAGAGUAGAACUUGGGCAAGUAGGCCGGCGUAUGGACGAAAUAAACGGAAAGUAUCGCUUCAAACAAAAGUUCGCAUUUUCACCGGACUACUUGACGAUGGGUUGGAUUUUUAUUUUAAAAAAUUGUGCAUGAUGAGAGUAAAGGAUUUACAGGAGAAUUUGAAAGGAGCUUGUAAAAUCCCUACGAUGAGCCACACUGACUGAAAUGAGCCUUUGUAUGAUUUGCAAGAGCACCUGGAAAUGCUGUCAAUGCUUCACAAUCACAUACAGCCUUGGUCCAAGGUGUCACGAUUUAGGGAUUCUGAUUCAGUCACUCAUGACAGGGACAGAUUGCUCUGCUCUGGUGGAUUCAUCUAUGACUGUAAAAAUUUUCAGUUGGUAGUGAUUGCCAGUUUAGAAGAUGAUAUCUAAUGAGCCACAGUAAAUUUUGUGUAGGUGCUUCACCAUGCUGCAACUAUGCAUUGGUGAAGGAAAUGAAUGGCGUUAGAUCCACAGUCAAGUGGCCUGCAUUGUUCUGGUUGGUGUCAAGCCUCCUGAUUGUUAAGAGUUGAACUUUAUCCAGGCAUUUGAGGAGUAUUCUACCACCCACCUGAUUGUGUGUGCAUCAUGGACAGGGAGACCAAGUCAAGUUGAAAGUGCAAGCGAGCAGGCUCUCAGCUGAAUUCUAACUCUCUCCAAUAUGAGACAAACUUAACCUGGAGUGCAUCUGUUUAUAAUGUAAAUGCAGAGGGCAGCUGAAAUUACUGCCCAAACCUUUAUUGUAUUGCACACUGAAAGGCAAUAUUCUCUUGUAUUAGUUUAAAAGAAUCCAGUUUGUAUUUGUUUAUGGCAAUGAUAUUUAUAAUGUUUUAAUACUGAAAUAUGAAAUAAAUAAUUAAGAUUCAAUUAA
Stegostoma tigrinum is the source of this 1383-nucleotide long non-coding RNA. RefSeq lists it as uncharacterized. The record is from RefSeq and is a predicted model, not a curated record. NCBI's taxonomy places the organism in Eukaryota, Metazoa, Chordata, Chondrichthyes, Orectolobiformes, Stegostomatidae. The transcript is spliced from 9 exons.